RNAcentral lists this ribosomal RNA (567 nucleotides) under Colletotrichum boninense. RNAcentral describes it as "eukaryotic LSU rRNA". The stretch from base 206 to 359 matches the Rfam family "5.8S ribosomal RNA". The record is from RNAcentral. Lineage: Eukaryota; Fungi; Ascomycota; Sordariomycetes; Glomerellales; Glomerellaceae.
CGGAGGGAUCAUUACUGAGUUACCGCUCUAUAACCCUUUGUGAACAUACCUACAACUGUUGCUUCGGCGGGUAGGCCGUCCCCUGAAAAGGACGCCUCCCGGCCCGGACCGGACCCCCCGCGGGACCGGACCCGGCGCCCGCCGGAGGAUAACCAAACUCUAUUGUAACGACGUUUCUUCUGAGUGGCAUAAGCAAAAUAAUCAAAACUUUUAACAACGGAUCUCUUGGUUCUGGCAUCGAUGAAGAACGCAGCGAAAUGCGAUAAGUAAUGUGAAUUGCAGAAUUCAGUGAAUCAUCGAAUCUUUGAACGCACAUUGCGCCCGCCAGCAUUCUGGCGGGCAUGCCUGUUCGAGCGUCAUUUCAACCCUCAAGCUCUGCUUGGUGUUGGGGCUCUACGGUCGACGUAGGCCCUCAAAGGUAGUGGCGGACCCUCCCGGAGCCUCCUUUGCGUAGUAACAUUUCGUCUCGCACUGGGAUCCGGAGGGACUCUUGCCGUAAAACCCCCCAAUUUUCCAAAGGUUGACCUCGGAUCAGGUAGGAAUACCCGCUGAACUUAAGCAUAUCAU